Molecule: small RNA, 28 nt
Filed under: Bombyx mori (domestic silkworm)
Lineage: Eukaryota; Metazoa; Arthropoda; Insecta; Lepidoptera; Bombycidae
Description: ovarian small RNA-20427
Source: RNAcentral
UACAUGGGUGCAGGUGAGGAAGUUGACC